Molecule: ribosomal RNA, 253 nt
Filed under: uncultured bacterium
Lineage: Bacteria
Description: partial 16S ribosomal RNA
Rfam family: Bacterial small subunit ribosomal RNA
Source: RNAcentral
UACGUAGGGUGCGCGCGUUGUCCGGAGUUACUGGGCGUAAAGCGCACGCAGGCGGUCUGCUAAGUUUGGAGUGACAGUUGGUGGCUUAACUGCCAAAGUGCUUCGAAAACUGACAGACUUGAGGGCUUCAGAGGGACACGGAAUUCCGGGUGGAGUGGUGAAAUGCGUAGAGAUCCGGAGGAACACCAAAGGCGAAGGCAGUGUCCUGGGGAGUACCUGACGCUCAGGUGCGAAAGCCAGGGGAGCGAACGGG